Molecule: long non-coding RNA, 652 nt
Organism: Vicia villosa (hairy vetch)
Lineage: Eukaryota; Viridiplantae; Streptophyta; Magnoliopsida; Fabales; Fabaceae
Exons: 3
Source: RefSeq, a predicted model, not a curated record
GCAGUUGUCGUCGUUAUCAAGGAAAGUUUAUAAUGUGUAUUCGGGAUCAAGUAGCCUCCAAUCACCAAGUAUAAAAUAGAGAUUGAGGUUGUCAUCUAAUCACCUCCAAGGUGCUGUGUUUGAAAAACACCUAAAUUAUGGUGGUAACUGGCAGUUGUCCACCUCUCAACCAAACCCAUGCUUGUAGCAAUUAUAUCAAAGGAUUUUAAUUACGACUGCGAAUAAGCCGGUUAGAGUGCACGACUUAAAGUAUGCUGGUUUAGAUGUUGCGUCGAAGUUGUCAACUCUGAGGUCCGAACUUGCUAAGGCUGGUUCAUCUGCAAUUAUCGUCUCUGCGCUUGAUGAAAUUGCGUGGCUGUUGAAUUUGAGAGGCAGCGAUAUCCCACAUUCACCUGUCGUGUAUGCAUAUUUGAUUGUGGAGAUUGAUGGAGCUAAAUUAUUUAUCGACAAUUCAAAAGUUACUGAAGAGGUGGAUGACCACUUGAAGAAAGCAAACAUAGAGAUCAGGCCAUACAAUUCAAUUAUAUCAGAGAUUGAAAAGUAAUUAUUGGAAUACUCUUUUUUUGAAUUUUUCUCGACCCUUCCAUUUCUCAUAUCAUUUAGUAGAAAUGGCCAAGAAUAUUACACUAGAUAGGCCGAUGUGGCUUAAAAU